UACAGAGGUCUCAAGCGUUGUUCGGAUUCAUUGGGCGUAAAGCGCGUGUAGGCGGACUGGAAGGUCUGGUGUGAAAGCCCGGGGCUCAACCCCGGAGGGUCACUGGAAACCGACAGUCUCGAGUCCGGAAGAGGAGAGUGGAAUUCCUGGUGUAGCGGUGGAAUGCGCAGAUAUCAGGAGGAACACCUAUGGCGAAGGCAGCUCUCUGGUACGUGACUGACGCUGAGACGCGAAAGCGUGGGGAGCGAACAGG
Molecule: ribosomal RNA, 253 nt
Filed under: uncultured bacterium
Lineage: Bacteria
Description: partial 16S ribosomal RNA
Rfam family: Bacterial small subunit ribosomal RNA
Source: RNAcentral